GGGCAACCUGCCCUCAGCUCUGGGAUAACUCCAAGAAAUUGGGGCUAAUACCGGAUAUGACUGCUGACCGCAUGGUCUGGUGGUGGAAAGAUUUAUCGGCUGGGGAUGGGCCCGCGGCCUAUCAGCUUGUUGGUGGGGUAGUGGCCUACCAAGGCGACGACGGGUAGCCGGCCUGAGAGGGUGACCGGCCACACUGGGACUGAGACACGGCCCAGACUCCUACGGGAGGCAGCAGUGGGGAAUAUUGCGCAAUGGGCGAAAGCCUGACGCAGCGACGCCGCGUGGGGGAUGACGGCCUUCGGGUUGUAAACCUCUUUCAGCAGGGACGAAGCGAAAGUGACGGUACCUGCAGAAGAAGCACCGGCCAACUACGUGCCAGCAGCCGCGGUAAUACGUAGGGUGCAAGCGUUGUCCGGAAUUAUUGGGCGUAAAGAGCUCGUAGGCGGUUUGUUGCGUCGGCUGUGAAAACCUGAGGCUCAACCUCAGGCCUGCAGUCGAUACGAGCAGACUAGAGUGUUGCAGGGG
Molecule: ribosomal RNA, 525 nt
Filed under: Candidatus Blastococcus massiliensis AP3
Lineage: Bacteria; Bacillati; Actinomycetota; Actinomycetes; Geodermatophilales; Geodermatophilaceae
Description: bacterial SSU rRNA
Rfam family: Bacterial small subunit ribosomal RNA
Source: RNAcentral